This 461-nucleotide ribosomal RNA is filed under the name uncultured Bacteroidota bacterium. RNAcentral describes it as "bacterial SSU rRNA". It matches the Rfam family "Bacterial small subunit ribosomal RNA", at positions 338 to 795 of the family's 1533-position model. The record is from RNAcentral. Lineage: Bacteria; Pseudomonadati; Bacteroidota.
CCUACGGGGGGCUGCAGUAAGGAAUAUUGGGCAAUGGACGCAAGUCUGACCCAGCCAUGCCGCGUGAAGGAUGAAGGCCCUAUGGGUCGUAAACUUCUUUUAUACGGGAAAAAACCACAGGUCGUGAAUCUGUGCUGAUGGUACCGUAAGAAUAAGCAUCGGCUAACUCCGUGCCAGCAGCCGCGGUAAUACGGAGGAUGCAAGCGUUAUCCGGAUUCAUUGGGUUUAAAGGGUGCGCAGGCGGAUUAAUAAGUCAGUGGUGAAAUCCUACGGCUCAACUGUAGAACUGCCAUUGAUACUGUUAGUCUUGAGUAUUGUUGAGGUAGGCGGAAUGUGUCAUGUAGCGGUGAAAUGCUUAGAUAUGACACAGAACACCGAUCGCGAAGGCAGCUUACCAAGCAAUUACUGACGCUCAUGCACGAAAGCGUGGGGAUCAAACAGGAUUAGAUACCCCUGUAGUC